UUUUUGCAGGUUAAUGAAAUAGCAGGUGCUUGUCAUGGCUGUUUAAGUCGGCAUUACAAAGGCAAGGCAGUAGAUAUCAGCAAGAAAAAUAUGAAAAGCGAACGGAUUGACUACUUUCUGUCAGAGUGCAAAAAAUACAAAAAAGAUGGUGGUAGAAAAGUUGAAGCAUUAAAUGAAUCAGCUCAUGUUCACUGUGGAAUACCUUUUUAGGUCGUGCAAGCGAAUCUCUUGUUUUGUUGACUCAUCAUUUUAGUUUUUUUUUAUAUUGUUUACAUCAAUCAAAAGAGGUGAUUGACAUGAAUUCCUGUCAAUUUAAAUGAGCUUAUCAUUUUAAGAUAUAAGAAUAACAAAAUAUGUCUGCCUUGCAUCAUAAAGUUUAAGAGGUUAAAUAUACCAAAGUGACACAAUAGACAACUUUAGAGUUUGUAUUUCACCGGAAAAAAACUCGUCAAUUAUGCGCGCCUUUAUGACGUCAUUAACCAGAUAGAGAGGAUCACCUAUAUUCCUGGACUAUUAACAAAAAUCAAGCGUCUUAAUGAUCGUCAAUGUGCAGGAUAAACUAGAAAUAUUCUGUUUUGUUCUGUAGGUACUUAAUAACGAUUUCGUCAAGACAGCAGUGCUGAUUGUCAAUUAUGAGAAUUCAAUUUGCCGAAUAAUGCGUGCAGUAUAGCUUCACAGUUUACCAACUCAACAUGGGAACGGAUGUGAGGAUGCCCAUUUACGCACGAAUAUUGUUCACUAACACCAUUUUAUUUACGGAAAUGCAUCGAACUCGAAAGUUGUCUACUGUAAAACUAUUUACUAUAAACAAAACUAAUCGAAAUGCAUUGUUGAUUAAUGAUAUACCUGCGCUAGGCAAUUGCUGGCAUAACAAAUCAAAUAAAGAAAUAUCAAUAGCUAUUGUUAUUUAUAACAUUGGUUGCAAUGAAUUACAAUGAUUUCCCAGUUAAAUAAAAACCGAUAAUUUCACA
RNAcentral lists this long non-coding RNA (971 nucleotides) under Mytilus galloprovincialis (Mediterranean mussel). The record is from RNAcentral. Lineage: Eukaryota; Metazoa; Mollusca; Bivalvia; Mytilida; Mytilidae.